RNAcentral lists this ribosomal RNA (499 nucleotides) under uncultured fungus. Its description in RNAcentral is "eukaryotic LSU rRNA". Lineage: Eukaryota; Fungi. The record is from RNAcentral.
UACAACUUUCAACAACGGAUCUCUUGGCUCUCGCAUCGAUGAAGAACGCAGCGAAAUGCGAUACGUAAUGUGAAUUGCAGAAUUCAGUGAAUCAUCGAAUCUUUGAACGCACCUUGCGCCCCUUGGCAUUCCGAGGGGCACACCCGUUUGAGUGUCGUGAAAUCUUCAAAACCCCCUUUCUUUGAUCCUUUUUUGGUCGGGAAAAGGGUUUUUGGACUUGGAGGUUCAAUGCUUGCUUUUACUUUCAAAAGUAAGCUCAKMCUAAAUGAAUUAGUGGGGUUCACUUUGCUGAUCUUUAACGUGAUAAGAUGUUUCUAUGUUUUGGAUUUGGCACUGUCCCUUGGACACCUGCUUCCAACUGUCUUAUAGACAAUGAUGGUGCUCUGGUCACUGCCAUUCUACAUUGUGGCGGGGAGGCUGGACCCAAAGAAAAGAAUCUUGACCUCAAAUCGGGUGAGACUACCCGCUGAACUUAAGCAUAUCAAUAAGCGGAGGAAAA